Molecule: long non-coding RNA, 1255 nt
Filed under: Triticum aestivum (bread wheat)
Lineage: Eukaryota; Viridiplantae; Streptophyta; Magnoliopsida; Poales; Poaceae
Description: long non-coding RNA (TAES_LNC001492)
Source: RNAcentral
CCUAACUUCUUCUAAACUUCUCCAACCUCCUCCCUAGUCUAGAGCUUUGAGUCCAGGCCCCUGCAGCAAAAAAUCAGCAUCCACUCCAAUGGAAAUUCUUCUCCAAAAUCUUCCAGCGGUGAGUGUUGUUCAAGUUUUGCACUUCUGCCCAGCUUCUUCUGAACUUCUGUUUAUUUCAUACCUAGUGAAUUUGCCUUGAAAUUAGACCAUCCAUAUAUACCUUCAUCUCAGUAAAAAUAGUUUGUCUACAAACUGGUACUACUGUUAGCUACUUUUACAUAAUUCUUAGCUGGUUGGUUAGCCUAAAUCAGUAGGCACCAAGCUCAAAAAUUCUGAAACUCUACACACUCCUCUAGCGAACAACAAGGGAUGCUCUAACUGAAACACUAAAACUCAAUUGUGCCGCGAGUGCCUAACUAUGUUCGUCGAUGCAGCUCUCAUCACAAACUCUUUGUUUUGCCUUGUGAAAACGAUGCAAAUCUGGGCAUCCAGUCGCGGAGAGAUGUGCGGAGCGCUGCAUUCCGUCGUCGUCGACCCCGCGGUCGUGGGCAACCAGGCAGCUGAUGUAGAUACAUCCUUAGCGGCAGUGCUAUUCUACUGUCCGCAUUGCAGAUAUAUGGUUGGUGAUUUGUCACUUGUUAAAUUACAUGAUGAGAUGACAUGAGUUGUGGAAAAGGAGCGAGCAGGACACAAUAAAGAUGAUGUCUUGACUUCAUUUUUGGGACAGUUCGAAAUGUGUUUGGGUCAAUUUCUUCUUUAUUUUCUCAGUCACUGUCUUGUUCUUGCUCAUUUUAUUGAAAGAUGGUCUUGUGUUCUGUGAAGAUGUGAACAAAAAAUAUGUAUUCACAACAAAGGACACAAAGAUGUUGUGGUGAUGUAAAGUCCGCCCCAGCAUAUGUAGUUUUCCAGAUUGCUAUGAAUAUUUUGUAAUCUUAAUGGUGGCGUUGAUGCAAUUUAUUUCUGUAGAUGUAUAAAACUUGUUCGAUUCAGGGUGAACAAAAACAUGUUGCUACAUGUCGAGUGUUCCUGACUUGAGCGUGUAUAUUCUUUUGAUUUAUGUGGCAUUAUAUAUGAGGUACUGCGGUACUGAGGUUUGGCUGGAAAUGAGUGAGGGAGUUAAUUUGUUUCAGCCUUGAGCUUGUUGCUGCUUCUUUCUAGUAGCAUCAUGGUACCAGCAUUUCGUACAUUGAUGUUUCCUCUCUACUAGGCGGUGUGAUGUUUUAGGAACAAACUUUGUUGCUAAACACAACAAAAA